Molecule: ribosomal RNA, 393 nt
Filed under: Pseudomonadales bacterium
Lineage: Bacteria; Pseudomonadati; Pseudomonadota; Gammaproteobacteria; Pseudomonadales
Description: bacterial LSU rRNA
Rfam family: Bacterial large subunit ribosomal RNA
Source: RNAcentral
GCUGAAGCCGGUCCCAAGGGUAUGGCUGUUCGCCAUUUAAAGUGGUACGCGAGCUGGGUUUAGAACGUCGUGAGACAGUUCGGUCCCUAUCUGCCGUGGACGUUUGAGAUUUGAGAGGGGCUGACCUUAGUACGAGAGGACCGGGUUGGACGAACCUCUGGUGUUCCGGUUGUGUCGCCAGACGCAUUGCCGGGUAGCUACGUUCGGAAAAGAUAACCGCUGAAAGCAUCUAAGCGGGAAACUUGCCUCAAGAUGAGAUCUCACCGGGAGCUUGACUCCCCUAAAGGGCCGUCGAAGACUACGACGUUGAUAGGUUGGGUGUGUAAGCGCUGUGAGGCGUUGAGCUAACCAAUACUAAUUGCCCGUGUGGCUUGACCAUAUAACACCCAAGCA